This 316-nucleotide ribosomal RNA is filed under the name uncultured bacterium. RNAcentral describes it as "bacterial SSU rRNA". It matches the Rfam family "Bacterial small subunit ribosomal RNA", at positions 199 to 507 of the family's 1533-position model. The record is from RNAcentral.
AGGGUCUUCGGACCUCGUGCUAUUAGAUGAGUCUGCGUCGGAUUAGCUUGUUGGUGAGGUAAUGGCUCACCAAGGCGACGAUCCGUAGCUGGUCUGAGAGGAUGACCAGCCACACUGGAACUGAGACACGGUCCAGACUCCUACGGGAGGCAGCAGUGGGGAAUAUUGCACAAUGGGCGCAAGCCUGAUGCAGCCAUGCCGCGUGUGUGAAGAAGGCCUUAGGGUUGUAAAGCACUUUCAGCAGUGAGGAAAGGGGUGUCGUUAAUAGCGCCAUCCUGUGACAUUAACUGCAGAAGAAGGACCGGCUAACUCCGUG